This 1257-nucleotide long non-coding RNA is filed under the name Felis catus (domestic cat). Its description in RNAcentral is "lncRNA (ENSFCAG00000048747.1)". Lineage: Eukaryota; Metazoa; Chordata; Mammalia; Carnivora; Felidae. The record is from RNAcentral.
AUGAAGAAGGGCCCGGACUUCUCCCUCACUACACUCCCAGCCCAUGUUCAAAGCCUAGUUUUUAGCUACAUGGUCUUUCCUCCUUCCCUCCUUCCUUCCUCCUUCCUUCCUCCCUCCCUCCCUCCCUCCCUUCCUUCCUUCCUUCCUUCCUUCCUUCCUUCCUCCCUCCCUCCCUCCCUCCCUUCCUUCUCUCCUCCUCUCCUUCCUUCCUUCCCUCCUUCUCUCCUCCUCCUCUCCUUUCUUCCUCCCUCCCUCCCUUCCUUCCUUCUUUCUUUCCUCCUCUCCUUCCUUCCUUCUCUCCUCCUCUCCUUCCUUCCCUCCUUCUCUCCUUCCUUCCUUCCUUCCCUCCUUCUUUCCUCCUCUCCUUCCUCCCUUCCUUCCUUUCUUCCCUCCUCUCCUUCCUUCCUUCCUUCUCUUUCCUUCCUUCCUCCCUCCCUUCCUUCCUUCCUCCUUCCUUCCUUCCUCCUCCUCCCUUCCUUCCUUCCUUCCUUCCCUCCUUCUCCUUCCUUCCUCCCUCCCUUCCUUCCUUCUCUCCUCCUCUCCUUCCUUCCUUCCUUCCUUCCUUCCUUCCUCCCUCCCUCCCUUCCUUCUCUCCUCCUUCCUUCCUUCCUUCUCUCCUUCCUUCCUUCCCUCCUUCUCUCCUCCUCCUCUCCUUUCUUCCUCCCUCCCUUCCUUCCUUCUUUCUUUCCUCCUCUCCUUCCUUCCUUCCUUCUCUCCUCCUCUCCUUCCUUCCUUCUCUCCUUCCUUCCUUCCCUCCUUCUCUCCUUCCUUCCCUCCUUCUAUCCUCCUCUUCUCCUUUCUUCCUCCCUUCCUUCCUUCCCUCCUUCCUUCCUCCUCUUCUCCUUCCUUGCUUCCCUCCUUCUCUCCUCCCUUCCUUCUCUCCUAUUCCCCUUCCUUCCUUCCUUUCUUCCCUCCUCUCCUUCCUUCCUUCCCUCCUUCCCUUCUCUCCUUCCUUCCCUCCUCCUCUCCUCUUCCCCUUCCUUCCUCCCUUCCUUCCUUCCUUCCCUCCUCCUCUCCUCUUCCCCUUCCUUCCUCCCUUCCUUCCUUCCCUCCUUCUCUUUCCUUCCUUCCCUCCUUCUCUCCUCCUCCCCUUCCUUCCUUCCCUCCUUCUCUCCUCUUCCCCUUCCUUCCUUCCUUCCUUCCUUCCUUCCUUCCUUCCUUCCUUCCUUCCCUUCUUCUCUCCUUCCUUCCUCCUUCCCUCCCUCCCUUCUUUUUGAGCUAAACACACCUCUUGACUCUUCCUUCAGCCUGAACUGA